GGGUUGUGAGGUUAAGCGACUAAGCGUACACGGUGGAUGCCCUGGCAGUCAGAGGCGAUGAAGGACGUGCUAAUCUGCGAUAAGCGCCGGUAAGGUGAUAUGAACCGUUAUAACCGGCGAUUUCCGAAUGGGGAAACCCAGUGUGAUUCGUCACACUAUCAUUAACUGAAUCCAUAGGUUAAUGAGGCGAACCGGGGGAACUGAAACAUCUAAGUACCCCGAGGAAAAGAAAUCAACCGAGAUUCCCCCAGUAGCGGCGAGCGAACGGGGAGGAGCCCAGAGCCUGAAUCAGCAUGUGUGUUAGUGGAAGCGUCUGGAAAGGCGCGCGAUACAGGGUGACAGCCCCGUACACAAAAGCGCACAUGCUGUGAGCUCGAUGAGUAGGGCGGGACACGUGGUAUCCUGUCUGAAUAUGGGGGGACCAUCCUCCAAGGCUAAAUACUCCUGACUGACCGAUAGUGAACCAGUACCGUGAGGGAAAGGCGAAAAGAACCCCGGCGAGGGGAGUGAAAAAGAACCUGAAACCGUGUACGUACAAGCAGUGGGAGCACCCUUUGGGGUGUGACUGCGUACCUUUUGUAUAAUGGGUCAGCGACUUAUAUUCUGUAGCAAGGUUAACCGUAUAGGGGAGCCGGAGGGAAACCGAGUCUUAACCGGGCGUUAAGUUGCAGGGUAUAGACCCGAAACCCGGUGAUCUAGCCAUGGGCAGGUUGAAGGUUGGGUAACACUAACUGGAGGACCGAACCGACUAAUGUUGAAAAAUUAGCGGAUGACCUGUGGCUGGGGGUGAAAGGCCAAUCAAACCGGGAGAUAGCUGGUUCUCCCCGAAAGCUAUUUAGGUAGCGCCUCGUGAAUUCAUCUCCGGGGGUAGAGCACUGUUUCGGCUAGGGGGCCAUCCCGGCUUACCAACCCGAUGCAAACUGCGAAUACCGGAGAAUGUUAUCACGGGAGACACACGGCGGGUGCUAACGUCCGUCGUGAAGAGGGAAACAACCCAGACCGCCAGCUAAGGUCCCAAAGUCAUGGUUAAGUGGGAAACGAUGUGGGAAGGCCCAGACAGCCAGGAUGUUGGCUUAGAAGCAGCCAUCAUUUAAAGAAAGCGUAAUAGCUCACUGGUCGAGUCGGCCUGCGCGGAAGAUGUAACGGGGCUAAACCAUGCACCGAAGCUGCGGCAGCGACACUGUGUGUUGUUGGGUAGGGGAGCGUUCUGUAAGCCUGUGAAGGUGUGUCGUGAGGCAUGCUGGAGGUAUCAGAAGUGCGAAUGCUGACAUAAGUAACGAUAAAGCGGGUGAAAAGCCCGCUCGCCGGAAGACCAAGGGUUCCUGUCCAACGUUAAUCGGGGCAGGGUGAGUCGACCCCUAAGGCGAGGCCGAAAGGCGUAGUCGAUGGGAAACGGGUUAAUAUUCCCGUACUUGGUGUUACUGCGAAGGGGGGACGGAGAAGGCUAUGUUGGCCGGGCGACGGUUGUCCCGGUUUAAGCGUGUAGGUGUGUGUUCCAGGUAAAUCCGGUUCACUUUAACACUGAGGCGUGACGACGAGGCACUACGGUGCUGAAGCAACAAAUGCCCUGCUUCCAGGAAAAGCCUCUAAGCAUCAGGUAACAUCAAAUCGUACCCCAAACCGACACAGGUGGUCAGGUAGAGAAUACCAAGGCGCUUGAGAGAACUCGGGUGAAGGAACUAGGCAAAAUGGUGCCGUAACUUCGGGAGAAGGCACGCUGACACGUAGGUGAAGUGAUUUACUCAUGGAGCUGAAGUCAGUCGAAGAUACCAGCUGGCUGCAACUGUUUAUUAAAAACACAGCACUGUGCAAACACGAAAGUGGACGUAUACGGUGUGACGCCUGCCCGGUGCCGGAAGGUUAAUUGAUGGGGUCAGCGCAAGCGAAGCUCCUGAUCGAAGCCCCGGUAAACGGCGGCCGUAACUAUAACGGUCCUAAGGUAGCGAAAUUCCUUGUCGGGUAAGUUCCGACCUGCACGAAUGGCGUAAUGAUGGCCAGGCUGUCUCCACCCGAGACUCAGUGAAAUUGAACUCGCUGUGAAGAUGCAGUGUACCCGCGGCAAGACGGAAAGACCCCGUGAACCUUUACUAUAGCUUGACACUGAACAUUGAGCCUUGAUGUGUAGGAUAGGUGGGAGGCUUUGAAGCGUGGACGCCAGUCUGCGUGGAGCCAACCUUGAAAUACCACCCUUUAAUGUUUGAUGUUCUAACGUGGACCCGUAAUCCGGGUUGCGGACAGUGUCUGGUGGGUAGUUUGACUGGGGCGGUCUCCUCCUAAAGAGUAACGGAGGAGCACGAAGGUUGGCUAAUCCUGGUCGGACAUCAGGAGGUUAGUGCAAUGGCAUAAGCCAGCUUGACUGCGAGCGUGACGGCGCGAGCAGGUGCGAAAGCAGGUCAUAGUGAUCCGGUGGUUCUGAAUGGAAGGGCCAUCGCUCAACGGAUAAAAGGUACUCCGGGGAUAACAGGCUGAUACCGCCCAAGAGUUCAUAUCGACGGCGGUGUUUGGCACCUCGAUGUCGGCUCAUCACAUCCUGGGGCUGAAGUAGGUCCCAAGGGUAUGGCUGUUCGCCAUUUAAAGUGGUACGCGAGCUGGGUUUAGAACGUCGUGAGACAGUUCGGUCCCUAUCUGCCGUGGGCGCUGGAGAACUGAGGGGGGCUGCUCCUAGUACGAGAGGACCGGAGUGGACGCAUCACUGGUGUUCGGGUUGUCAUGCCAAUGGCACUGCCCGGUAGCUAAAUGCGGAAGAGAUAAGUGCUGAAAGCAUCUAAGCACGAAACUUGCCCCGAGAUGAGUUCUCCCUGAGACUUAAAGUCUCCUGAAGGAACGUUGAAGACGACGACGUUGAUAGGCCGGGUGUGUAAGCGCAGCGAUGCGUUGAGCUAACCGGUACUAAUGAACCGUGAGGCUUAACCUUACAACGCCGAAG
Molecule: ribosomal RNA, 2926 nt
Filed under: Salmonella enterica subsp. enterica serovar Senftenberg
Lineage: Bacteria; Pseudomonadati; Pseudomonadota; Gammaproteobacteria; Enterobacterales; Enterobacteriaceae
Also listed under: 4 other names
Description: 23S ribosomal RNA
Rfam family: Bacterial large subunit ribosomal RNA
Source: RNAcentral